RNAcentral lists this ribosomal RNA (484 nucleotides) under uncultured bacterium. RNAcentral describes it as "partial 16S ribosomal RNA". It matches the Rfam family "Bacterial small subunit ribosomal RNA", at positions 30 to 507 of the family's 1533-position model. The record is from RNAcentral.
AUUGAACGCUGGCGGCAGGCCUAACACAUGCAAGUCGAGCGGAUGAAGGGAGCUUGCUCCUGGAUUCAGCGGCGGACGGGUGAGUAAUGCCUAGGAAUCUGCCUGGUAGUGGGGGAUAACGUCCGGAAACGGGCGCUAAUACCGCAUACGCCCUGAGGGAGAAAGUGGGGGAUCUUCGGACCUCACGCUAUCAGAUGAGCCGAGGUCGGAUUAGCUAGUUGGUGGGGUAAAGGCCUACCAAGGCGACGAUCCGUAACUGGUCUGAGAGGAUGAUCAGUCACACUGGAACUGAGACACGGCCCAGACUCCUUCGGGAGGCAGCAGUGGGGAAUAUUGGACAAUGGGCGAAAGCCUGAUCCAGCCAUGCCGCGUGUGUGAAGAAGGUCUUCGGAUUGUAAAGCACUUUAAGUUGGGAGGAAGGGCAGUACGUUAAUACAUUGCUGUUUUGACGGUACCAACAGAAUAAGCACCGGCUAACUACGUG